CCGAUCCAGGUGCAGCGCCACCAGCGGAUCCCGCUCCCAAAACCGCAUUCGGCUGAGGAGCAGGACGUUUGUUGUGCCGCAACGGUGCAGUGGGUGGCAUCUGGUGACCGGUGGUCUGCAGGAACCAUGGAUCGCCAGCCGUGCUGCCUGUCGUCGCUGCAGCGGCCACCGUCACCGAGGGCUGCGAGAAUCCGCGAUGGUGUCCGACGACCGUGGUUUGUCCGUUCUGCGUGGCAGUCGCGUGGCUGUUCAUAGCCUGGCCGGACGUCGUGGUUGCCGUCUGCUUCCUCAGCAAUCCCUGCUUUAUCUCAACGGUGAUCAGAUCACCCUCGCCGGACGCCUUUCUCGAAAGCGGCUCCUUCUCCUUAUGGUUUUCCUCCGGUUUUUGCUGCGGCUUCUGGUUCUUCUCGUGGCUGGUCUUACUAGCUUGGCCUUCCUCGUCUGCAAAAACCGAAAUGAGUAAAAAUAUUAGUUUGUUACUAUUGCUUUACUGUUCAGCUUUAUCAAUGAAUAAUGUUAUUUUUAUUUGCUGAUACAAGGAGGCGAAAAGCAUCUAAUCUUAUCACAACAAUCAGCUGCUCAAAUAAGUAAUUUGUUUUAUGACCCGCACACAAUUAUCAAAGGGAAUAUGUAGAUAUUCUCUCCAUUUCUGACAUAACUUGGCAAUUUUAAUAUCGGAAUUGUCACAAUAUCUCUAUCAGACAAUAUAGCCGCAUUCACCGAUCGAGUUGCUUUUUCUGUAUAGCCAAGCCAAAUCAACUCCCGUGAUCGAAUGAAGGCCAAACUCACGUUUAUUUAAUCAGUCAGUCAAGUCAGUGGACAAAUAGCAACGAUUGCAUAAGCGACUUUGAUGCGCAAUGCUAAUUGUUGGUCAACACACUCAAAACGCAGCUCAGUGACUCAAAUGGACACAAAUGGCAUGUUAAUCGGGUGAACCGCGCGAAUCUGCUCUCCAAAUGUAAAGCAUUCGCAUGUGACGGGCAUAAUUAAACCCACUUUAUUGGCCACUUUCAGGCUUUGGGCUACUGUGUGUGCCUGGACACGAAUUCGGAUUCAGGAUGAGUCAGUUUCGUGUCGCUUUAAAGCUACCCGCAAAUCUGUGCACGCAAAGAAAUUAGAAGACAAAUGCCUU
This is a long non-coding RNA of Drosophila erecta, 1132 nucleotides long. RefSeq lists it as uncharacterized. The record is from RefSeq and is a predicted model, not a curated record. The transcript is spliced from 3 exons. Lineage: Eukaryota; Metazoa; Arthropoda; Insecta; Diptera; Drosophilidae.